UCUCGGUAAACAUAAAAAAUGAUAUUAAUAUUUUUCCCAUUUCUCCAAUCUUUUGCAAACAACACCAUUUUAAAGCCAAAAUGUACAAAUUUUCAAAGAAAUUCUUAUAGAGUUUUAUAGAUGUUUAUAGUGUUAAUACCUUCCCUUUUCAUAACAAAUCCACGGACCCUUAUAUCUUUUUAUUAGUUUUGUUUUAAAACUUCUUUGGGUUUUGUUCGUACUUUUUCCAUUU
This 232-nucleotide long non-coding RNA is filed under the name Lathyrus oleraceus (garden pea). RNAcentral's name for it is "Pisum sativum (pea) long non-coding RNA (PSAT_LNC002000)". The record is from RNAcentral. Lineage: Eukaryota; Viridiplantae; Streptophyta; Magnoliopsida; Fabales; Fabaceae.